Long non-coding RNA from Homo sapiens (human), 439 nucleotides. Ensembl annotates it as long intergenic non-protein coding RNA 396. The record is from Ensembl. Lineage: Eukaryota; Metazoa; Chordata; Mammalia; Primates; Hominidae.
CCAAAUAGUCACUCUCUGAAGUCCCAGUCUCUGAAAUAUCAGCUGCUUUAAGUCCUCGUCUGCUCAUUCCCACAUUCCCACUACAUCCAGGAUGCCAUCCUGCUGAAAUGCUGCACUCUGUCGUUGGAGCUGUGGGUGUCUCUGAAGUCCUCCUCUCUUUUCUCUCAUAUGGACAUCAGUCAGAUGUAAGGGCUGCUGAGUUUUGCUUGGUCAGCAGUGAAUUUAUCGGUGGGACUGGCUGACUUUCGCAGGCUUCCCUGCUUUCAGGAAGCUCCUCAGAGGUGAAUCAGAUAAUGAAGCAGAACAAGAUCUGCCCUUGUGAAUUGCUUAUUUGAUUGCCAUCAUCUUAAUUUUAAUUUUAUUAUAAAGUGUGUAGGCAACACAGUUGAAGAAAACUGUGAAGCCACAGGAGCCUAAGCAAUAGAUUCGAUUCCUUCCA